AUGCACGCUGGCGGCGUGCCUCAUACCUGCAAGUCGAGCGAACGGACUAGAAGCUUGCUUCUCUGAUGUUAGCGGCGGACGGGUGAGUAACACGUGGAUAACCUACCUAUAAGACUGGGAUAACUUCGGGAAACCGGAGCUAAUACCGGAUAAUAUUUUGAACCGCAUGGUUCAAAAGUGAAAGACGGUCUUGCUGUCACUUAUAGAUGGAUCCGCGCUGCAUUAGCUAGUUGGUAAGGUAACGGCUUACCAAGGCAACGAUGCAUAGCCGACCUGAGAGGGUGAUCGGCCACACUGGAACUGAGACACGGUCCAGACUCCUACGGGAGGCAGCAGUAGGGAAUCUUCCGCAAUGGGCGAAAGCCUGACGGAGCAACGCCGCGUGAGUGAUGAAGGUCUUCGGAUCGUAAAACUCUGUUAUUAGGGAAGAACAUAUGUGUAAGUAACUGUGCACAUCUUGACGGUACCUAAUCAGAAAGCCACGGCUAACUACGUG
This 496-nucleotide ribosomal RNA is filed under the name uncultured bacterium. Its description in RNAcentral is "partial 16S ribosomal RNA". It matches the Rfam family "Bacterial small subunit ribosomal RNA", at positions 29 to 507 of the family's 1533-position model. The record is from RNAcentral.